CAUCUUUGUUAGUGAUGGAGAUUUUUGUUUUGUUUUGUAUGAGUUUAGAAUAGAGUUUUUGUUGUUAGUGGUUGAGAUUAGAAUGAAGUUUAAGGGUUGAUGGAUUUCUGGGUUUUAGGUUGGAGAUGGAAGAAAUUGAAUUGAAGUGAUGAAGAAUGGAGUUUUUGAUAAUGUUGUUGGGGAUCUGUUUUUUUUUUUUU
RNAcentral lists this long non-coding RNA (200 nucleotides) under Trifolium pratense (red clover). RNAcentral's name for it is "long non-coding RNA (TPRA_LNC006019)". Lineage: Eukaryota; Viridiplantae; Streptophyta; Magnoliopsida; Fabales; Fabaceae. The record is from RNAcentral.